RNAcentral lists this ribosomal RNA (254 nucleotides) under uncultured bacterium. RNAcentral describes it as "partial 16S ribosomal RNA". It matches the Rfam family "Bacterial small subunit ribosomal RNA", at positions 524 to 776 of the family's 1533-position model. The record is from RNAcentral.
UACGGGGGGUGCAAACGUUGUUCGGAAUUACUGGGCGUAAAGGGCGCGCAGGCGGCUGCUCAAGUCAGGCGUGAAAGGCCUGGGCUCAACCCGGGAAUUGCGCUUGAGACUGGGCUGGCUUGAGUGCGGGAGAGGAUGGUGGAAUUCCCAGUGUAGAGGUGAAAUUCGUAGAUAUUGGGAAGAACACCGGUGGCGAAGGCGGCCAUCUGGACCGCAACUGACGCUGAGGCGCGAAAGCGUGGGGAGCAAACAGG